This 200-nucleotide ribosomal RNA is filed under the name uncultured eukaryote. RNAcentral's name for it is "partial 18S ribosomal RNA". It matches the Rfam family "Eukaryotic small subunit ribosomal RNA", at positions 588 to 795 of the family's 1831-position model. The record is from RNAcentral.
GCUCCAAUAGCGUAUACUAAAGUUGUUGCAGUUAAAAAGCUCGUAGUCGGAAUUCGGAUUGUGCGUGCUGGUCCGCCGCAAGGCGAGUACUGGCGUAGCGCGAUCCUCCUUCUGGAAAUGGAGUGUGCCUUCACUGGGUGUGCUUCCAGGUCCGGAUCGUUUACUUGAGUAAAUUAGAGUGUUCCAAGCAGGCGUUUGCC